ACCAGCAUAGUUUAAAUGGAAAAAUAACGGUCUCCAAAACCGUAGUUCUAGGUUCGAGUCUUAGUGUUGGUG
This 72-nucleotide transfer RNA is filed under the name Caudoviricetes sp. Its description in RNAcentral is "tRNA-Trp". It matches the Rfam family "tRNA". Rfam says of the family: Transfer RNA (tRNA) molecules are approximately 80 nucleotides in length. Their secondary structure includes four short double-helical elements and three loops (D, anti-codon, and T loops). Further hydrogen bonds mediate the characteristic L-shaped molecular structure. tRNAs have two regions of fundamental functional importance: the anti-codon, which is responsible for specific mRNA codon recognition, and the 3' end, to which the tRNAs corresponding amino acid is attached (by aminoacyl-tRNA synthetases). tRNAs cope with the degeneracy of the genetic code in two manners: having more than one tRNA (with a specific anti-codon) for a particular amino acid; and 'wobble' base-pairing, i.e. permitting non-standard base-pairing at the 3rd anti-codon position. The record is from RNAcentral. Lineage: Duplodnaviria; Heunggongvirae; Uroviricota; Caudoviricetes.